AGUCGGACGGUAGGGUGGUGCUUGCACUACCUGAGAGUGGCGAACGGGUGAGUAACACGUAGAUUAUCUACCUUUGGGAGUGGGAUAGCCUGUAGAAAUAUAGGGUAAUACCGCAUGAGGCCUGUUGAAGAGAUUUGGCGGGUGAAAGGAGCAAUUGUUCCGCCUGGAGAUGAGUCUGCGGUCCAUUAGUUUGUUGGUGGGGUAAUGGCCUACCAAGGCGAUGGUGGAUAGCCGGCCUGAGAGGGUGUACGGUCACACUGGGACUGAGACACGGCCCAGACUUCUACGGGAGGCAGCAGCUAAGAAUCUUCCGCAAUGGGCGAAAGCCUGACGGAGCGACGCCGCGUGAACGAUGAAGGCCGAGAGGUUGUAAAGUUCUUUUCUUGGUGAAGAAUAAAUGUAUGAGUGGAAAGCGUACAAGAUGACGUUAGCCGAGGAAUAAGCCCCGGCCAAUUACGUGCCAGCAGCCGCGGUAACACGUAAGGGGCGAGCGUUGUUCGGAAUUAUUGGGCGUAAAGGGCGUGUAGGUGGUUUUAUAAGCCUGGUGUUAAAAUCUCUGGCUCAACCAGAGUCGUGCGCUGGGAACUGUGAGACUAGAGUUCAGGAGGGGAAGCUGGAAUUCCUGGUGUAGGGGUGAAAUCUGUAGAUAUCAGGAAGAACACCGGUGGCGAAGGCGAGCUUCUAGCCAUGGACUGACGCUGAGGCGCGAAAGCGUGGGGAGCGAACAGGAUUAGAUACCCUGGUAGUCCACGCUGUAAACGAUGUGCACUGGGCGUAGGAUUCUUAUAGGAUUCUGUGCAGUAGCUAACGCGUUAAGUGCACC
RNAcentral lists this ribosomal RNA (823 nucleotides) under uncultured organism. Its description in RNAcentral is "bacterial SSU rRNA". It matches the Rfam family "Bacterial small subunit ribosomal RNA", at positions 60 to 870 of the family's 1533-position model. The record is from RNAcentral.